GUUUCCUGUCAGACAAACAACAAGCAGACGGGGCUUCCGCUUCAGAGUUCACGGAGUUUAGAGUUUACUGAACUCUAUUUUUGGAGAAACAAUAGAUUAAUCUCCGCGAGCUCACUCUGAUAAUCCCGCGAGACAGCACGGCCCAAUCGAGAGCAGAGCGAGAACAACACUGAUCCGUUCCAGAGGAAGCCGAGCUAAUCUGAGCUAACUACUGUGGCGUUUUCAAGCGGACUAUCGUCAGCUAUCACGGUGACCGCUUCUCUUACCGGUACAGAUGAGCCUCUCGGGGAAAAGGGAGAACGGUCCGGUCCAAGCGCGACCACAGGUGAACCGGACGGACCGCUAACUCCGUUUGGAGCGUCGGGUUUAUGACGUUUAUCAGAGGGGGGGGAAGUCACGUGAUCACAAGACCUCAACAAUCGAAUCUGCUGAUGAGAUCAAAGUGCCAGAAAUGUAGGUCAUUUUCGACACUCGGGUUGUGGAAAACUCUUCAAAUAAAAUAAAGAAAAUUCACGCAGAUUCGACUAAUCUUUAAUCACUGACGUCAGUAAGAUUACCUGAAUUUAAAUGAACAUUACUGGAAUAAACAUUGGGAAAAAAGAGCUUUUAGAAUCCUUCAAAUGAGGUUUCUUUUUUUUAAAAUCAAACAAAAAAAUACUUUAUAUUAAAUAUUCUUCUAACCUAAUGCAUACAGAAGACUUUAGUGAAAAAUAUAAAAACGUAUAUUUAUAAAAGGGUCUCCAAAAUGUGUCAUUUAGUAUUUUUUGUUUCAUUACUGCAGAUUAAAUGCACCAGUUUUUCCCUGAUUCUGCUAUCAAGCUUUGUAAGACCUAAACUGAUAGAAUCCUGGAUUUGGAAACACAUUACUUUAAUAAAAAAAAAAAAAA
Molecule: long non-coding RNA, 887 nt
Organism: Oryzias melastigma (Indian medaka)
Lineage: Eukaryota; Metazoa; Chordata; Actinopteri; Beloniformes; Adrianichthyidae
Exons: 2
Source: RefSeq, a predicted model, not a curated record